This 465-nucleotide ribosomal RNA is filed under the name Vreelandella stevensii. RNAcentral describes it as "partial 16S ribosomal RNA". It matches the Rfam family "Bacterial small subunit ribosomal RNA", at positions 338 to 795 of the family's 1533-position model. Lineage: Bacteria; Pseudomonadati; Pseudomonadota; Gammaproteobacteria; Oceanospirillales; Halomonadaceae. The record is from RNAcentral.
CCUACGGGCGGCAGCAGUGGGGAAUAUUGGACAAUGGGGGGAACCCUGAUCCAGCCAUGCCGCGUGUGUGAAGAAGGCCCUCGGGUUGUAAAGCACUUUCAGUGAGGAAGAACGCCUGGUGGUUAAUACCCAUCAGGAAAGACAUCACUCACAGAAGAAGCACCGGCUAACUCCGUGCCAGCAGCCGCGGUAAUACGGAGGGUGCGAGCGUUAAUCGGAAUUACUGGGCGUAAAGCGCGCGUAGGUGGCUUGAUAAGCCGGUUGUGAAAGCCCCGGGCUCAACCUGGGAACGGCAUCCGGAACUGUCAAGCUAGAGGGCAGGAGAGGAAGGUAGAAUUCCCGGUGUAGCGGUGAAAUGCGUAGAGAUCGGGAGGAAUACCAGUGGCGAAGGCGGCCUUCUGGACUGACACUGACACUGAGGUGCGAAAGCGUGGGUAGCAAACAGGAUUAGAUACCCUGGUAGUC